Felis catus (domestic cat) is the source of this 85-nucleotide transfer RNA. It matches the Rfam family "tRNA". From Rfam's summary of the family: Transfer RNA (tRNA) molecules are approximately 80 nucleotides in length. Their secondary structure includes four short double-helical elements and three loops (D, anti-codon, and T loops). Further hydrogen bonds mediate the characteristic L-shaped molecular structure. tRNAs have two regions of fundamental functional importance: the anti-codon, which is responsible for specific mRNA codon recognition, and the 3' end, to which the tRNAs corresponding amino acid is attached (by aminoacyl-tRNA synthetases). tRNAs cope with the degeneracy of the genetic code in two manners: having more than one tRNA (with a specific anti-codon) for a particular amino acid; and 'wobble' base-pairing, i.e. permitting non-standard base-pairing at the 3rd anti-codon position. The record is from Rfam. NCBI's taxonomy places the organism in Eukaryota, Metazoa, Chordata, Mammalia, Carnivora, Felidae.
GCCUGGGUGGCUCAGUCGGUUGAGCGUCCGACUUCAGCUCAGGUCACGAUCUCACGGUUCGUGAGUUCGAGCCCCGCAUCAGGCU